Molecule: ribosomal RNA, 244 nt
Filed under: uncultured bacterium
Lineage: Bacteria
Description: partial 16S ribosomal RNA
Rfam family: Bacterial small subunit ribosomal RNA
Source: RNAcentral
ACUGGGCGUAAAGCGCAUGCAGGUGGUUUUGUUAAGUCAGAUGUGAAAGCCCGGGGCUCAACCUCGGAAUUUGCAUUUGAAACUGGCAGACUAGAGUACUGUAGAGGGGGUAGAAGUUUCAGGUGUAGCGGUGAAAAUGCGUAGAGAUCUGAAGGAAUACCGGUGGCGAAGGCGGCCCCCUGGACAGAUACUGACACUCAGAUGCGAAAGCGUGGGGAGCAAACAGGAUUAGAUACCCUGGUAG